UAGCAGACGUGAAGGCAAUCUUUGUACAUCGGAAAGCAAACAAAGAAAAUGUUACGUUUUAAAAAUGUCAAAAUCUAAAAAUACAACUCAAUGCAACCUUCUUGUGAUGUUUGUAUAAAGUCUUUGCUGUUUUUGAAAUGCUGGACAGUUUUUGAACGUUGUUGUAAUCUUGAAAAAUUGGACAUUAAAGAUUACUGCCAGUGGAGAAUAUUUGUGUGAGAUCUAUGAAGUGCCCAUGAAAUGACACAUUGCUAUGAUGAACUUCGAAAGUAUAUAGAGUGACAAGUGAACAUUGUUAUGAACAUUGAAAUGAACAUAGUGUGAACUGUCAAGCCAAGAUGAAGAUGUCAAGAUUUUAUGUUUGUUGUCUUUCCCAUGAAAUGCAAAUGCCCUUGUAAGACUUGAUAGUAGUAGAAAAAUAUUGACAUUUUUUUUUCAAGGGGGGGGGGGAGGAAUCUGUUAGACACCUUGUUUAUAGUAUUAGUUAUUUAGCGACGCACCAUAGAAGACGUAUAUUGAAAGGGACUAGUGACGUUUGGAAUAAUUUGGGUUAGAGACUGGAAAAUCAGUUAGCAAUAGGAUUCUCUUGGGUAAAGACGUGUUUACUUGACAGAGACUUUUACUAUGGCCCUUUCUUGGAAUAAAUAUCUUAUGAAUCGUUCAUCAGUGUUGACCACAUCUCUUCACUCGUUAAAUAGAUGGUUUGUUUAUUCUGUAUUGUUGAUCAACUACAUUGAAUACACCCGAACAAUAAAACUCAAACGCUUGCAGAGUAAUUGAUUGAAAUUCAACAGUCAUCUAUAGUUGACCUCAAGACAGUCUGAA
Long non-coding RNA from Biomphalaria glabrata, 825 nucleotides. RefSeq lists it as uncharacterized. The record is from RefSeq and is a predicted model, not a curated record. The transcript has 3 exons. NCBI's taxonomy places the organism in Eukaryota, Metazoa, Mollusca, Gastropoda, Planorbidae.